CCGCGGUAAUUCCAGCUCCAAUAGCGUAUAUUAAAGUUGUUGCAGUUAAAAAGCUCGUAGUUGAAUUUCGGGGUUAGUAGGUUGGUCAUGCCUCUGGUAUGUACUGGUCUCACUGAUUCCUCCUUCCUGAUGAGCCGUAAUGCCAUUAAUUUGGUGUUGCGGGGAAUUUGGACUGUUACUUUGAAAAAAUUAGAGUGUUUAAAGCAAGCUAACGCUUGAAUACAUUAGCAUGGAAUAAUGAAAUAGGACGUUCGAUCCUAUUUUGUUGGUUUCUAGGAUUGACGUAAUGAUUAAUAGGGAUAGUUGGGGGCAUUAGUAUUCAAUUGUCAGAGGUGAAAUUCUUGGAUUUAUUGAAGACUAACUACUGCGAAAGCAUUUGCCAAGGAUGUUUUCAUUAAUCAAGAACGAAAGUUAGGGGAUCGAAGACGAUCAGAUACCGUCGUAGUCUUAACCAUAAACUAUGCCGACUAGGGAUCGGAUGAUGUUAAUUUUUUAAUGACUCAUUCGGCGCCUUACG
This 517-nucleotide ribosomal RNA is filed under the name uncultured Glomus. Its description in RNAcentral is "SSU rRNA". It matches the Rfam family "Eukaryotic small subunit ribosomal RNA", at positions 574 to 1092 of the family's 1831-position model. The record is from RNAcentral. Lineage: Eukaryota; Fungi; Glomeromycota; Glomeromycetes; Glomerales; Glomeraceae.